Molecule: transfer RNA, 82 nt
Filed under: Thermincola sp.
Lineage: Bacteria; Bacillati; Bacillota; Clostridia; Eubacteriales; Thermincolaceae
Description: tRNA-Leu
Rfam family: tRNA
About the family: Transfer RNA (tRNA) molecules are approximately 80 nucleotides in length. Their secondary structure includes four short double-helical elements and three loops (D, anti-codon, and T loops).
Source: RNAcentral
GCCGGAGUGGCGGAAUGGCAGACGCAUACGACUCAAAAUCGUACGGGAAACCGUGUGGGUUCGACUCCCACCUCCGGCACCA